ACGAACGCUGGCGGCGUGCUUAACACAUGCCAGUCGAACGGAAAGGCCCUGCUUUUGUGGGGUGCUCGAGUGGCGAACGGGUGAGUAACACGUGAGUAACCUGCCCUUGACUUUGGGAUAACUUCAGGAAACUGGGGCUAAUACCGGAUAGGAGCUCCUGCUGCAUGGUGGGGGUUGGAAAGUUUCGGCGGUUGGGGAUGGACUCGCGGCUUAUCAGCUUGUUGGUGGGGUAGUGGCUUACCAAGGCUUUGACGGGUAGCCGGCCUGAGAGGGUGACCGGCCACAUUGGGACUGUGAUACGGCCCAGACUCCUACGGGAGGCAGCAGUGGGGAAUAUUGCACAAUGGGCGGAAGCCUGAUGCAGCAACGCCGCGUGCGGGAUGACGGCCUUCGGGUUGUAAACCGCUUUCGCCUGUGACGAAGCGUGAGUGACGGUAAUGGGUAAAGAAGCACCGGCUAACUACGUG
Molecule: ribosomal RNA, 467 nt
Filed under: uncultured bacterium
Lineage: Bacteria
Description: partial 16S ribosomal RNA
Rfam family: Bacterial small subunit ribosomal RNA
Source: RNAcentral